RNAcentral lists this ribosomal RNA (497 nucleotides) under uncultured bacterium. Its description in RNAcentral is "partial 16S ribosomal RNA". It matches the Rfam family "Bacterial small subunit ribosomal RNA", at positions 28 to 507 of the family's 1533-position model. The record is from RNAcentral.
GAUGAACGCUGGCGGCGUGCCUAAUACAUGCAAGUCGAGCGAACAGACGAGGAGCUUGCUCCUCUGACGUUAGCGGCGGACGGGUGAGUAACACGUGGAUAACCUACCUAUAAGACUGGGAUAACUUAGGGAAACCGGAGCUAAUACCGGAUAAUAUAUUGAACCGCAUGGUUCAAUAGUGAAAGACGGUUUUGCUGUCACUUAUAGAUGGAUCCGCGCCGCAUUAGCUAGUUGGUAAGGUAACGGCUUACCAAGGCAACGAUGCGUAGCCGACCUGAGAGGGUGAUCGGCCACACUGGAACUGAGACACGGUCCAGACUCCUACGGGAGGCAGCAGUAGGGAAUCUUCCGCAAUGGGCGAAAGCCUGACGGAGCAACGCCGCGUGAGUGACGAAGGUCUUCGGAUCGUAAAACUCUGUUAUUAGGGAAGAACAAAUGUGUAAGUAACUAUGCACGUCUUGACGGUACCUAAUCAGAAAGCCACGGCUAACUACGUG